RNAcentral lists this ribosomal RNA (402 nucleotides) under bacterium. Its description in RNAcentral is "partial 16S ribosomal RNA". It matches the Rfam family "Bacterial small subunit ribosomal RNA", at positions 355 to 776 of the family's 1533-position model. The record is from RNAcentral.
UGGGGAAUUUUGCACAAUGGGGGAAACCCUGAUGCAGCGACGCCGCGUGAUUUAGAAGGCCUUCGGGUUGUAAAAAUCUUUUCUAUGGGAAGAAAAUGACAGUACCAUAGGAAUAAGGACCGGCUAAUUACGUGCCAGCAGCCGCGGUAAUACGUAAGGUCCGAGCGUUGUCCGGAAUCAUUGGGCGUAAAGGGUACGUAGGCGGGUAAGCAAGUUAGAAGUGAAAUCCUACAGCUCAACUAUAGUAAGCUUUUAAAACUGCUCAUCUUGAGGUAUGGAAGGGAAAGUGGAAUUCCUAGUGUAGCGGUGAAAUGCGCAGAUAUUAGGAGGAAUACCGGUGGCGAAGGCGACUUUCUGGCCAUAACCUGACGCUGAGGUACGAAAGCGUGGGUAGCAAACAGG